AUGCCGGUGAGCAGGAUCGCCAUCGGCGCCCCGGGGGAGCUGUCCCACCCGGACACCUUCCGCGCCGGCGUCGCCGAGUUCAUCUCCAUGCUCAUCUUCGUCUUCGCCGGCUCAGGCUCCGGCAUGGCCUUCGGCAAGCUGACUGACGGCGGUGCGACGACGCCGGCGGGGCUGAUCGCGGCGGCGCUGGCGCACGCGUUCGCGCUCUUCGUGGCCGUCUCCGUGGGCGCCAACAUCUCGGGCGGCCACGUGAACCCGGCCGUCACAUUCGGCGCCUUCGUGGGCGGCAACAUCAGCCUCCUCAAGGCGGUGGUGUACUGGGUGGCGCAGCUGCUCGGCUCCGUCGUGGCCUGCCUCCUCCUCAAGAUCGCCACCGGCGGCGAGGCCGUGGGCGCCUUCUCGCUCUCCGCCGGCGUCGGCGUCUGGAACGCCGUGGUCUUCGAGAUCGUCAUGACCUUCGGCCUCGUCUACACCGUCUACGCCACCGCCGUCGACCCCAAGCGCGGCGACCUCGGGGUCAUCGCGCCCAUCGCCAUCGGCUUCAUCGUCGGCGCCAACAUCCUCGCCGGCGGCGCCUUCGACGGCGCCUCCAUGAACCCCGCCGUCUCCUUCGGCCCCGCCGUGGUCAGCGGCGUCUGGGAGAACCACUGGGUGUACUGGCUCGGCCCCUUCGCCGGCGCCGCCAUCGCCGCCCUCGUCUACGACAUCUGCUUCAUCGGCCAGCGCCCACACGAGCAGCUCCCCACCGCCGACUACUGA
Molecule: ribosomal RNA, 759 nt
Filed under: Triticum aestivum (bread wheat)
Lineage: Eukaryota; Viridiplantae; Streptophyta; Magnoliopsida; Poales; Poaceae
Description: partial small subunit ribosomal RNA
Source: RNAcentral